This is a long non-coding RNA of Brachypodium distachyon (stiff brome), 2409 nucleotides long. RefSeq lists it as uncharacterized. Lineage: Eukaryota; Viridiplantae; Streptophyta; Magnoliopsida; Poales; Poaceae. The transcript is spliced from 2 exons. The record is from RefSeq and is a predicted model, not a curated record.
AGAAAACUUUCCCCUUCCGCUCGAAGCGUUUUUUUCUUCUUUUUUUUCCUCGCGUCUAACCUCCACUACCCUACCGUAGACGCGCCUGCGCCUCGCAGACGCUCCGCCCGGAGGCGGCACCUCGCGGAUCCGCAUCCACCUCGCGUCUUCGUCGAGUUCAACGCCGAUGAGUUCUCCCUCACCGGCCGCCGCCCCUUCCCCAAACUCCUACUCGCUGGAUCAGCCGCAUCCACCACGGCCUCCCCCUCCUCUGCUCCCACUGCUCUCCUUGCCUCCCGUCUCCCCGAGCUGCGCGGGCGCCGAUCGCUUCCCCCCUGCCGGAUCCGGCCGUCGCGCCGCCGGGUCGCCUCUCCUUCCCGUCCUCUCCAACCUGCGUCCCUCCAAACUCAGAUCCGGAGGGCCACCUCAAACGCAUACCCGAAGGCCGGCGACGGCAGAAGCCAUGGUUAACUCCUCCCCGAAUCGUCUCUCCUCUCCCAAUUUCGCAUUGGAGUUCCCGAAGCUUGAUUGUAUUGGAGUUUCUCGCUGCACCGCCAUCCCCAAUGUCGGCCUCUCUCCUCUCCGAUCUCGUAUGCGCCCACCGCGGCCAGAGUAGUGCGCCGCCUACCUCCUCUCCCCCGGCAGCAUGGCGACAAGGACAACAGCAGGAGCUGCGCCACCACGAAGAUCGGGACGAAGUGAAGGGCGCUGGGCGAUGGAGGAGACGGGAGAUGCAGCCACGACCCUACCACUUGGUAAUUCCCAUCUCCGCUGGCUGCACUUGUUUCAGGUAGUACAAGAUACUCUUCUGUUUCUUCAGGUACUUGGGAAUAAAUAUCAAAGUAACCUACUCCUACGUAAUUUGAUUAAUCUUUGGUGAGUAGCUGAGAGUUCCAGUGUAUAAAAUUAUUGGCAUCGACCUAUCUGGAGUACGGAAAUAGACUGUGUUGUAAGUAGUUUUAGCAUACCAUUCUUAAUGUUAUUGCAAUUCAGUCCCUUCUCCCUUAAGACUAUGCAACAUCAUUAUGAAUGUUAUUUCCUUCAUUUAUCUUUUUUUACUGAUGUUCUGUUGCACCUCGAGUUGUGUCGCUGGAUCGAGGUCUCUCUUCAGUUCCCUAGAUCAGAUCGAGGAUUUGACGCAGGCCGGCGCCGUUUGCUACUGAUCCGGUGUGCCCAAAACCUGCCCAAAACGAUCCAGGAUUUGACCUUGAGGGUUGAUUGUAUGUUGAUCUGAGACAUUAGUUCAGAAACUGGGAUGAAUCUGUCCAUUGUAUGAAACUGGUCACAAUGUGAGAAUUAAAAUAUUACUCCCCCCGUUCCAUAAUUCUUGUCGAAAUCUUACAUGUAUCUAGACACUUUUUGGGAUUAGAUACAUCCAUUUUUGAGCAAAUUUGAGACAAGAAUUAUGAAAUGGAGGGGGUAGUAAAUAUCUUCCCAAAGAACCUAAGUUUGCUCAAUCUGACGAAUAAUGUGAAGACUGGAGCAAAAAUAAGGUGCUACUGUUCUGCAGUUCCUACAAUAAUUUUUGUUUUUCAUACUUUUGGUUAAGAUAAAUUUAUAAUUUGUCCCUGGUCGCAAUUAGUAGAGAAGUAGUAGAUGCUUACUUAAAGGGCUUGUUGAACAACACAGUACAUAUUAGGGUCGAUAGAGAAUCUUCUUGUCUAAAAUGUGAUUGACAACACAAUACAUAUUUACUAUUGCAUUUUUCUCAUGUUUAGGGUACUCGGUAGUUUUAGCGGCUUUUCAAUGUAGAGUUAGAGAUGAGGAAUCCCAUAUUAGAGGAGAUGAGAAUAUGACUGUUUUUACAUGUUGAUCAUAUAUAAUUAUGAGGAGAUCCUCUAAUGUACAUUCUCUAAUCACACAACUUCAAAUCACCACGAAAUAAUCUUAUAUGUAUUAUGAGCCGUUGCCAAGUCAUCAAUAACCUGUUGCUGAAUGUGUCAAUUUCAAAUGAUCGAUCGCCAUCUGGUGCUGAUGAGUUCCUUCCUGUUCUCAUUUACAUUACUACCAAGGCAAGCUUCUCUUUUUAAUUACCAAUUGUUAUAUUUCUUUGCUUUGUCAGGUUCUAGCUGGUUGGAUAUGCUUCUUAGCUGGUUCGAUUUUUAUUAUCAUGUAAUCUCGAGAUUUUUUUAUACAGCUCUAUCUGAAAGAGAUGCAUACUCUGGUUUAUGCCAUGACGAUGGACCAGAAAGAAAGCAUGCCUCAACGCAUGUAGUACUGGCGGAAGAUGGGGCUGAGUCAAUAUAAAGGUUGGAAGGAAGAUGUUAUUAUGUUAUUCUUCUAUUUAAGCGAAUGUUGGCUAUUGAAUUAACUUAUGUACCUUGAAUAGGAGAGUAGCUCAAAAUUUCUUUUGUAACUCUUUUGAAAGAUUGUACUGUUUUGAUAUUUGAUCAUGGAAUGGAAGACAUCUUUAUUAUUACAAGAUAAAGA